AUACGGAGGGGGCAAGCGUUGUUCGGAAUUACUGGGCGUAAAGGGCGCGUAGGCGGCCAAGUCAGUCAGGCGUGAAAGCCCAGGGCUCAACCCUGGAAUUGCGCUUGAUACUGCUUGGCUCGAGACCGGAAGAGGGUAGUGGAAUUCCAAGUGUAGAGGUGAAAUUCGUAGAUAUUAGAAAGAAUACCAAUUGCGAAGGCAGCUUUCUGGAUCAUUACUGACACUGAGGAACGAAAGCAUGGGUAGCGAAGAGGAUUAGAUACCCUCGUAGUCCAUGCCGUAAACGAUGUGUGUUAGACGUUGGAAAUUUAUUUUCAGUGUCGCAGCGAAAGCGAUAAACACACCGCCUGGGGAGUACGACCGCAAGGUUAAAACUCAAAUGAAUUGACGGGGACCCGCACAAGUAGUGGAGCAUGUGGUUUAAUUCGAAGAUACGCGCAGAACCUUACCAACACUUGACAUGUUCGUCGCGACUCUAAGAGAUUAGAG
RNAcentral lists this ribosomal RNA (489 nucleotides) under uncultured Pseudomonadota bacterium. RNAcentral describes it as "bacterial SSU rRNA". It matches the Rfam family "Bacterial small subunit ribosomal RNA", at positions 523 to 1012 of the family's 1533-position model. The record is from RNAcentral. Lineage: Bacteria; Pseudomonadati; Pseudomonadota.